Molecule: ribosomal RNA, 433 nt
Filed under: uncultured bacterium
Lineage: Bacteria
Description: partial 16S ribosomal RNA
Rfam family: Bacterial small subunit ribosomal RNA
Source: RNAcentral
AACGAACGCUGGCGGCAUGCCUAACACAUGCAAGUCGAACGAGACCUUCGGGUCUAGUGGCGCACGGGUGCGUAACGCGUGGGAACCUGCCCUUAGGUUCGGAAUAACUCCCCGAAAGGGGUGCUAAUACCGGAUAAUGUCUUCGGACCAAAGAUUUAUCGCCUUUGGAUGGGCCCGCGUUGGAUUAGCUAGUUGGUAGGGUAAAAGCCUACCAAGGCGACGAUCCAUAGCUGGUCUGAGAGGAUGAGCAGCCACACUGGGACUGAGACACGGCCCAGACUCCUACGGGAGGCAGCAGUGGGGAAUAUUGGACAAUGGGCGAAAGCCUGAACCAGCAAUGCCGCGUGAGUGAUGAAGGCCUUAGGGUUGUAAAGCUCUUUUACCCGGGAUGAUAAUGACAGUACCGGGAGAAUAAGCUCCGGCUAACUCCGUG